GACGAACGCUGGCGGCGUGCUUAACACAUGCAAGUCGAACGGUAAGGCCCUUCGGGGUACACGAGUGGCGAACGGGUGAGUAACACGUGGGUGAUCUGCCCUGCACUUCGGGAUAAGCCUAGGAAACUGGGUCUAAUACCGGAUAGGACCACUGCCUGCAUGGGUGGUGGUGGAAGGCUUUUGCGGUGUGGGAUGGGCCCGCGGCCUAUCAGCUUGUUGGUGGGGUGAUGGCCUACCAAGGCGACGACGGGUAGCCGGCCUGAGAGGGUGACCGGCCACACUGGGACUGAGAUACGGCCCAGACUCCUACGGGAGGCAGCAGUGGGGAAUAUUGCACAAUGGGCGCAAGCCUGAUGCAGUGACGCCGCGUGAGGGAUGACGGCCUUCGGGUUGUAAACCUCUUUCAGCACCGACGAAGCGCAAGUGACGGUAGGUGCAGAAGAAGGACCGGCCAACUACGUGCCAGCCGCCGCCGUAA
This 478-nucleotide ribosomal RNA is filed under the name uncultured bacterium. RNAcentral's name for it is "partial 16S ribosomal RNA". It matches the Rfam family "Bacterial small subunit ribosomal RNA", at positions 28 to 523 of the family's 1533-position model. The record is from RNAcentral.